GCCAUAGGGAGGGCGUCAGUGUGCCCUGGUUUGGCCACAUCAGGGUUCCACAUAUGGCAGCUCCAGUCCCACCCAGCCUGCUGACCAGCUUCUCCUCUCCCACAAGCAGGCAAAACCUCCCUGGGGACAGGUCUACAGACUCAUCCACACUUGGACCACAACCGAAGCUGGAGAACCAUCUGCUGGGGACUCCCAGCGUCUGGCACCCACCCCAGUGUUACCCUGCUGUCCCACGGCCCGUGAUAAAAGACCUUGCAAAAAGACCGAGCCACAGAGCUGGCAGAAGAGAACCCCGGGGCACAAGCCGGAAGAACUCCCUGGGAUGGCGAGGAGGCUGCAACUGGCAAAGGACGUGCAGUGUCCGUAAGAGGGAAGCAGGCUAGGGAGCUGUGCUUCCUCCCCUGACCUGAUGGUGGCGCUGCCCCCUGUGAGUCCCAGCGACUGCAGCGUCGUCCUCUGCAAGGCAGCCUGGCCCGUCACCUGAGGGAGAGGGCAAAGGAGGUGGCACAGGUGGUCCAGGACAGGUGGGCCCCACGCCAAGACCCCAGACCUCAAGGGAGCAGACCUUGAAAAACCACAGGAGGCCCUCAAACUUCCCCCUCCUUCAAAACCCUCCCAGUGCAGGACAGUGUGGGGGUGGGGUGGGGUGACCUCCCAGGCCUCGGUGCCCCCCAAGCCCUUGGUGCCCAACAGCAAGGUCUGAGCCUGCUCCUCCUUAGCCCCAAGGCUCCCCCAUGCCAGCCUGCCUCAGCUCCCAUCAUCCACCUGCAAGUCCCGACUUGUCACCCCCAUUCCCAAGGGUACCCUCAGAAGGCCCUGAAUCCCCUCCUGCAGGGCACCAGCUGCCUUUUGCCCUUGGGACUGCCCCUGCAGGGGAACACUGGCGCUGAGCAGGUCCUCUGUAGGAAAGAGUACCCAACCUCAGAGCCCCUCACCCCACCCCCUCCUGUCCUUUGAGGCUCCAGAGGCCCUGUGGGUCUGAUGGGGGCCCAGUGGGAGACACGGCCAUCUGCACGGGGUCCACUGGGUCCACCCUGGCUGGGAGGGGCACACUGCCAGAGCAGGAACAGACAGCCACUGUGAGGCGGGGGCGCCGAGUGGGGCGGGGCGCGGGUGCCAGGGCCAAGCCCGCCCCACACUGCUCUCAGGUUUGGGAAAGAUCAAAACAUGAGCAAAGCAAAUAUUUAUUAAAACGAAACCACUUUUGUGA
Echinops telfairi (small Madagascar hedgehog) is the source of this 1210-nucleotide long non-coding RNA. RefSeq lists it as uncharacterized. NCBI's taxonomy places the organism in Eukaryota, Metazoa, Chordata, Mammalia, Afrosoricida, Tenrecidae. The transcript is spliced from 3 exons. The record is from RefSeq and is a predicted model, not a curated record.